ACAUGCAAGUCGAAACGGUAACAGGUCUUCGGAUGCUGACGAGUGGCGAACGGGUGAGUAAUACAUCGGAACGUGCCCGAGAGUGGGGGAUAACGAAGCGAAAGCUUUGCUAAUACCGCAUACGAUCUCAGGAUGAAAGCAGGGGACCGCAAGGCCUUGCGCUCACGGAGCGGCCGAUGGCAGAUUAGGUAGUUGGUGGGAUAAAAGCUUACCAAGCCGACGAUCUGUAGCUGGUCUGAGAGGACGACCAGCCACACUGGGACUGAGACACGGCCCAGACUCCUACGGGAGGCAGCAGUGGGGAAUUUUGGACAAUGGGCGCAAGCCUGAUCCAGCCAUGCCGCGUGCAGGAUGAAGGCCUUCGGGUUGUAAACUGCUUUUGUACGGAACGAAAAGACUCUGGUUAAUACCUGGGGUCCAUGACGGUACCGUAAGAAUAAGCACCGGCUAACUACGUGCCAGCAGCCGCGGUAAUACGUAGGGUGCGAGCGUUAAUCGGAAUUACUGGGCGUAAAGCGUGCGCAGGCGGUUAUGUAAGACAGAUGUGAAAUCCCCGGGCUCAACCUGGGAACUGCAUUUGUGACUGCAUAGCUAGAGUACGGCAGAGGGGGAUGGAAUUCCGCGUGUAGCAGUGAAUGCGUAGAUAUGCGGAGGACACCGAUGGCGAAGGCA
RNAcentral lists this ribosomal RNA (672 nucleotides) under uncultured beta proteobacterium. RNAcentral describes it as "bacterial SSU rRNA". It matches the Rfam family "Bacterial small subunit ribosomal RNA", at positions 53 to 723 of the family's 1533-position model. Lineage: Bacteria; Pseudomonadati; Pseudomonadota; Betaproteobacteria. The record is from RNAcentral.